Molecule: ribosomal RNA, 297 nt
Filed under: uncultured bacterium
Lineage: Bacteria
Description: partial 16S ribosomal RNA
Rfam family: Bacterial small subunit ribosomal RNA
Source: RNAcentral
GGUAGUCCACGCCGUAAACGAUGGGCACUAGGUGUGGGAGGUGUCGACUCCUCCCGUGCCGGAGCUAACGCAUUAAGUGCCCCGCCUGGGGAGUACGGCCGCAAGGCUAAAACUCAAAGGAAUUGACGGGGACCCGCACAAGCAGCGGAGCAUGUGGUUUAAUUCGACGCAACGCGAAGAACCUUACCUGGGUUUGACAUGUUCCUGACCGCCGUGGAAACACGGUUUCCCCUUGUGGGCAGGAUCACAGGUGGUGCAUGGCUGUCGUCAGCUCGUGUCGUGAGAUGUUGGGUUAAG